AACGAACGCUGGCGGCAGGCCUAACACAUGCAAGUCGAACGCCCUAGCAAUAGGGAGUGGCGCACGGGUGAGUAACGCGUGGGAACGUGCCUUUCAGUCUGGAAUAACAGCGGGAAACUGCUGCUAAUACCGGAUAUUCUCUACGGAGGAAAGAUUUAUCGCUGAAAGAUCGGCCCGCGUAAGAUUAGGUAGUUGGUAGGGUAAUGGCCUACCAAGCCUACGAUCUUUAGCUGGUCUGAGAGGAUGAUCAGCCACACUGGAACUGAGACACGGUCCAGACUCCUACGGGAGGCAGCAGUGGGGAAUAUUGGACAAUGGGCGCAAGCUUGAUCCAGCCAUGCCGCGUGAGUGACGAAGGCCUUAGGGUUGUAAAGCUCUUUUAUCAGGGACGAUGAUGACGGUACCUGAAGAAUAAGACACGGCUAACUUCGUGCCAGCCGCCGCAGUAA
This 449-nucleotide ribosomal RNA is filed under the name uncultured bacterium. RNAcentral's name for it is "partial 16S ribosomal RNA". It matches the Rfam family "Bacterial small subunit ribosomal RNA", at positions 29 to 523 of the family's 1533-position model. The record is from RNAcentral.